This 72-nucleotide transfer RNA is filed under the name Anatilimnocola aggregata. It matches the Rfam family "tRNA". Rfam says of the family: Transfer RNA (tRNA) molecules are approximately 80 nucleotides in length. Their secondary structure includes four short double-helical elements and three loops (D, anti-codon, and T loops). The record is from Rfam by way of RNAcentral. Lineage: Bacteria; Pseudomonadati; Planctomycetota; Planctomycetia; Pirellulales; Pirellulaceae.
GGCGCGGGGGCUGGACGGCCAGGCGGUUGCCUGCAGAGCAACAUCAAGUGGGUUCGACUCCCACCUGCGCCU